RNAcentral lists this ribosomal RNA (497 nucleotides) under uncultured bacterium. RNAcentral describes it as "partial 16S ribosomal RNA". It matches the Rfam family "Bacterial small subunit ribosomal RNA", at positions 28 to 507 of the family's 1533-position model. The record is from RNAcentral.
GAUGAACGCUGGCGGCGUGCCUAAUACAUGCAAGUCGAACGAACAGAUGAGGAGCUUGCUCCUCUGACGUUAGCGGCGGACGGGUGAGUAACACGUGGAUAACCUACCUAUAAGACUGGGAUAACUUCGGGAAACCGGAGCUAAUACCGGAUAAUAUAUUGAACCGCAUGGUUCAUUAGUGAAAGACGGUUUUGCUGUCACUUAUAGAUGGAUCCGCGCCGCAUUAGCUAGUUGGUAAGGUAACGGCUUACCAAGGCAACGAUGCGUAGCCGACCUGAGAGGGUGAUCGGCCACACUGGAACUGAGACACGGUCCAGACUCCUACGGGAGGCAGCAGUAGGGAAUCUUCCGCAAAGGGCGAAAGCCUGACGGAGCAACGCCGCGUGAGUGAUGAAGGUCUUCGGAUCGUAAAACUCUGUUAUUAGGGAAGAACAAAUGUGUAAGUAACUAUGCACGUCUUGACGGUACCUAAUCAGAAAGCCACGGCUAACUACGUG